Cucurbita moschata (crookneck pumpkin) is the source of this 130-nucleotide long non-coding RNA. RefSeq lists it as uncharacterized. NCBI's taxonomy places the organism in Eukaryota, Viridiplantae, Streptophyta, Magnoliopsida, Cucurbitales, Cucurbitaceae. The record is from RefSeq and is a predicted model, not a curated record. The transcript is spliced from 3 exons.
UAAUUUAGUGGAAGAUCAUGGGUUUAUAAUUGAGGAAUACUACCUCCAUUGGUAGGAGGCCUUUUGGGAAAGCCCAAAGCAAAGCCAUGAGAGCUUAUGCUCAAAUGGACAAUAUCAUACCAUUGUGGAG